This is a long non-coding RNA of Homalodisca vitripennis (glassy-winged sharpshooter), 3085 nucleotides long. RefSeq lists it as uncharacterized. NCBI's taxonomy places the organism in Eukaryota, Metazoa, Arthropoda, Insecta, Hemiptera, Cicadellidae. The record is from RefSeq and is a predicted model, not a curated record. The transcript is spliced from 3 exons.
UGGCCUUAUCCAGUUACUAGGAGAGUUUGAUCCGGUUAUGAUGGAACAUUUAAGAUGCAUUGAAGAGAGUGAAUAUCGAGUUCAAAUGUUAAGUGUCAAUAUUCAAAAUGAGUUGAUAAACUGCCUGGCAAAGGAGGUGAAAAACAAUAUAAUCGAGAAAAUAAAGCUGUCACAGUACUUCUCAGUUAUGUUGGAUUGUACGCCAGACGUAAGUCAUAAGGAACAAACAUCUCUCACCAUUCGCUAUGUUCACGAAGAAGAGAUCGAUGGUGAAAUUGUUAUUGAAGAGAGUUUUAUAGGCUACACGAUUACUGAGGAGUCAACAGGGGAAGCAUUGACUCAAUUGUUAACAGAAGAGGUAGAGUUAUGUGGUUUGGACAUGAGUAACUGCCGCGGGCAAGGGUACGACAAUGGCGCAAACAUGGCAGGAGCUAAAAAAGGGGUCCAAUCAUGAAUAUCCUCAGAAUAUCCUUUAGCUGUAUUUACACCCUGCGGAUGCCACAGCCUCAACUUGGUUGUUGCAGAUGGAACCAGAUCAUCCGUCAAGUCUACUCUACUUUUUGGAAUCCUUCAAAAGAUUUACACUAUUUUCGCAUCAUCUCCAAAACGUUGGUGCGUUGUCAGUGACCAUGUUAAAGGUUUAACUUUGAAAAAGGUUUGUGAAACAAGAUGGGAGGCUCGAAUAAGUUCUGUAUCUGCCGUUCGAUACUAGUACAAAGACGUCCUUGACACUCUUGUAGAACUGAGUGAAACUGUCAAUGACCCUACAAUCUCAUCUGAAGCUAAGUCCCUCCAAAUUCACAUGGAAGACUUUUCAUUUCUGGUUUGCCUUAUUGUUUGGCACGAUGUUUUGUUUGAGGUAAACUUGAUAAGUAAAACCUUACAAGGUAAAAGCACUGAUAUUGCUUUAACAUCAAAUCUGCUGCAAAAAACUUUACAGUUCAUAGAUGAUUUUCGUAAAGACGGUUUAAAUGACUCAGUUUCAAAAGCCAAAGAGAUUUGUAGUGAAAUUGACAUGGAACCAUUGUUUAAAGAAAACCGCCAAAGAACAAAAAAUAAGCUUUUUGAUCAUGAAAGUAAAAGUGACUACAAAGCAACUCCAGAAGAAGAAUUUAAAAGUAACGUUUUCUACCCACUAUUGGACAUUAUGCAGGCUUCCCUAAAAGAAAGGUUAAUUCAGUUUUCAAACCACAACUUGAAAUGGGGGUUUUUAUACGACCUUAAACAACUCCCUCACGCAGAAGAUUUGAAGGAAUGUUGUGCAAAUUUACAGAAACAUCUAUCGUUUGGGCAAACCUCUGACAUAAGCGGAAAAGAACUUUAUCAGGAACUCCUUCAUGUCAAAACUAUUGUGAAUGAAGUAAGCCUAGCUAAGGCAACCCCAUUACAAGUUUUAAAAGUGAUUAAGAAGACAGACAGAAAGGACCUAUACACAAACUUAUGGAUUGCACUUCGAAUCCUUCUAACUAUUCCCAUAUCUGUUGCCAGUUUUGAAAGAAGCUUUAGUAAGCUUAAAUUAAUAAAAACCUACUUGCGUUCUUCAAUGUCUCAGGAGAGACUGUCAUCCCUUGCCAUGCUGUCUAUUGAAAAUGAAGAAUGUAAAAGGCUGAAGUUAGAAGACGUUAUCAAGAAGUUUGCUAGUGCAAAGGCCAGGAAGAUUUCUUUUAAAAAAUAAAACUAUGUCUGUCAAAGAUUCGGUUUGAGAUGGCCACACCAAUCACCAUGGAAAAUCAUCCAUGCUAUAGCACUUCAAUUAUGUCUUCACAUCGUUCAGAGAGAAACAAACAUUUCAAGAGGCUUCAGUGAAUGUCAUUUUUGACAAAUCCGAGGUAUCUCCAGAUGCCUAUGACAUUGCAUUUUGGUGCCUAUGACCAAAAACUACCUUUAAACCAAGUGUACAUAUGCUUCAGAAAUGAUUAAAGCUCCAGAACCAAAUAUAAUACACAAGAAGUAGUGAAUGAGUUGUCUGGAAAAUGUAACCAGUUAUUAUACCAAGUAACAGGUGGAUCAGAGACACAUAAAAUCUGUUUACUUUUGGAUCUUCUCGUGUUUCCCAUGGCUGAGGCUGUCAGUGAACUUCCAUGACAAGCCUAACUGCUGUGUGACGCUUGGAAGAAAGCGUACAUUGUAUUUUAAAUGCUUAGGAGCACAAAUGUUUUUACAAGCAGGUACACUUUAGUUUCAAUUCCUUGCAAACAAUAUUUUUUAAUCAUUCACAGAUAACGCAUAAAAUAUUUAAUUCAGCCUACAUACACUUCAAGUUAUUACAUCCUUUAAGAAAUUUUUUUUAUAUAAGUAAAAUAACUCAAUCUUGAUCCUAACUUAUAACAAAUGCAAAAUGUUUAGGUAAUAUUAAACUACAGUAACUUAUGUGAUCUUAUCACCUAAUUUAUUGUAAUACUAAUACAUUAAUUAUUGUUGUUUUUAACUUAUUAAACCAUUUUACAGACAUUUGCAACGUUCUAAUGUGAUUCAGAAAGAUCACACAGAAAGUAAACAUACAAGUAUCUACUUGUACUUAUUUAAAAUAACAUGUGAAAUUCUUAUUGCCUGAACAUUUGUUUGGCUCUUAGGAAGAUAAAAAUUAUCAAUAAAAUAUUAAGAGAUAAUCAUGUUAUAACUAAUAAGAGUGUUAGACUUGUCGAAUCUGUGCUGAUUGAACAUAUCACUCUUAACCCUUUGCACGCCAAGUAAUUACGUAUAUGUUUUGCCCUAGUGCCAAAUUACUGAAUAUUUUAAUUUUUUGAAAACUGUAAAGCCAUUUUUUUAUUUGUUUAAGUAAUUGGUUUAAAGAAUAAAAAACCAUGAAAUGCUUUUAUAGGCAUUUUUUAAACGAAAUAUAGAUAUUUUUCUAUUUUAAGGACCAGUAGGUAUGAAAUGAAUAAAAAAGUUAUUUUGAUAAAACUGUAUAAUUUUUACAAACUUAUACUGGUACAUGAAGUAGAUAUGAUAAGUAAAUAAAUACACAUUUUGGAAAACAGUAAAAAGAUAUCUUACAAACUGUUUUCUGAUUUUUUUUACGAAUAAUCGUCCAAAGUAUGAAACGCCUCAAAACAAACUUCUGGGUGUAGCGCUGCUGGAUUGU